GAUGAACGCUGACAGAAUGCUUAACACAUGCAAGUCAACUUGAACUUCGGUUUGGGUGGCGGACGGGUGAGUAACGCGUAAAGAACUUGCCUCACAGAUAGGGACAACAUUUGGAAACGAAUGCUAAUACCUAAUAUUAUGAUUUUAGGGCAUCCUAGGAUUAUGAAAGCUACAUGCGCUGUGAGAGAGCUUUGCGUCCCAUUAGCUAGUUGGAGAGGUAACGGCUCACCAAGGCGAUGAUGGGUAGCCGGCCUGAGAGGGUGAUCGGCCACAAGGGGACUGAGACACGGCCCUUACUCCUACGGGAGGCAGCAGUGGGGAAUAUUGGACAAUGGACCAAGAGUCUGAUCCAGCAAUUCUGUGUGCACGAUGAAGUUUUUCGGAAUGUAAAGUGCUUUCAGUUGGGAAGAAAAAAAUGACGGUACCAACAGAAGAAGUGACGGCUAAAUACGUGCCAGCAGCCGCGGUAAUACGUAUGUCACAAGCGUUAUCCGGAUUUAUUGGGCGUAAAGCGCGUCUAGGUGGUUACGUAAGUCUGAUGUGAAAAUGCAGGGCUCAACUCUGUAUUGCGUUGGAAACUGUGUAACUAGAGUACUGGAGAGGUAAGCGGAACUACAAGUGUAGAGGUGAAAUUCGUAGAUAUUUGUAGGAAUGCCGAUGGGGAAGCCAGCUUACUGGACAGAUACUGACGCUGAAGCGCGAAAGCGUGGGUAGCAAACAGG
Molecule: ribosomal RNA, 722 nt
Filed under: uncultured Fusobacterium sp.
Lineage: Bacteria; Fusobacteriati; Fusobacteriota; Fusobacteriia; Fusobacteriales; Fusobacteriaceae
Description: bacterial SSU rRNA
Rfam family: Bacterial small subunit ribosomal RNA
Source: RNAcentral